GAGGAGUUCCCUAUGAGAAUCCUCUGGGGUAGUACCGCCCAUCCAACACCAUGCCUCUUAAUUGCCUUCGUUUGGCUGUACUCAGCCAUGUGGGGCACUGCUCACCGGCUGGGCCAUCACAGCGUAUACAGUGAUGUAAUGAUGUAUGCAGGCGUACACAGUGUGGUACCCCAAGCUGCUCUUGGGGUUCCACUAGGGCUAAAUGGUGGCGAUUUCCCUUAGGGAAGGUUGUGGACGGCUUAUACCUCACCAGGGCUAUACUGGGCGGGCUCUAGGACCCUGGGGAGGUGAUCUGGGAACUAGGGAGGUCGGCCCAUCCACUAGUGGGAAGCUCAGGUGAACUAUUAGAUUAGAUUGGCACUGAGCAGCCACUAGAUAGACAGGGGUGUUUGAAGUCAGUGUGAAGCAAGGCUGACAAAGGGAAGCAGCCAGUUGUACUGUGUGGAGCUUCUGCCCCCAGGAGGGGAUGGCCCAGCCUCUGCCCUGCCCACCGGGUGAAGACACCACCCAGCCAGGCCAGUCGUCAUGCCAACGGUGCAACGGCACAGCCAGCUGCCAGGGCCCGAGGCCUUCCCUCUGGAGCAGAGCUGGGGGUCAGCUGGGUCAGAGGUCACGACCCCUGCAGCCCUGCCCUGCAGGAAUGCACCAUGGAGACGUGGAGAGGGAUGGGUGUGUGAUGUGUCCAUUGGGGUAUUACUGCACUGGUGGCGUCUCCAUAUGGUGUCCAGCCGGAAGCUAUGGAGCGAAGGAGGGCCUGCAGAGAGAGAGGGACUGCUCCCCCUGUCCAGCAGGCUUCUACUGUUUGGAGGGCAGCUCUCGCAGGCCCGGCUCCCAGUUCCUGUGCCCUGUGGGGUUCUACUGUGAGGAGGGAACAGCGGUACCGCACGGGUCCCCUUGCCCCGCUGGAACCGCAGGAGGACAACUGGGCCAGACAAGUAGAGCAGCCUGCAAGAGGUGUGUGGAGGGACGAUUCUGUCCUGCAGGUUCAGUUGGACCGGGUCUGCCUUGCGCCAGGGGAAGGUAUUGCCCGGCGGGGACUCUGAGGGAGAUCUUAUGCCCCCGCGGCACCUUCACUCCCCACCAGGGGGCCUUGAGUAUAAAGGACUGCUUGCGAUGUCCAGCGGGGUUCUAUUGCCCUGAGGCCACCCGUGACCCAGUGCCCUGCCAGCCUGGCACCUUUAACCCCCUGGAUGGGCAGGACUCCGCUGAAGACUGCCGGCCCUGCUACCCGGGCAAGGCCUGCACCAGGGUGGCACUGAAGGCCCCAGACGUGGACUGCAUGCCAGGCUUCGUGUGCCCCCCAGGCACGGCACGCCCUAACCUCCCUGCCAACGCCUGCCCCCCUGGCACCCUUAGCAACCGAACCGAUCUCACGGACCGCGAACAGUGCCAGCUGUGCCCCGCGAGCUUCGCCUGCCUCAGAGGUACGGGUGGCAUCCAGAGGCCUCCGCUCUCCUGCUUCCCUGGGCACUACUGCCCCGCGGGCUCCAUGUUCCCCACACAGCACAAAUGCCCCCCGGGCACGUGGAGUGAACGCGGCGGCCUGGAGUCGGAGCGGGAGUGCCAGCCUUGCCCACGGGGGUGGUACUGCCUCUCGGGCUCAGGGGCACCGUCAGGGAGAUGCAUCGCUGGGCACUACUGCCCUGAAGGCACGAUGUUCGGUACCCAGUCUCCCUGCCCAGCGGGCACCUUCAGCAACAUGAUGGGCAACGGGCAGAAAGCUGACUGCCAGAUCUGCCCCAAGGGGUAUUACUGCAAGGAGGGCACCUCCAAACCCACUGCCUGCCCGCCGACGACGUACCGCCGGAUGAAGGGGGCCCAGAGGCCUCAGGACUGCUCCCUGUGUCCCGCCGGAUACUCCUGCCCCCAGUCCGCCACCGUCCAGCCCACAGUGUGCGGGGUGGGCAGCUACUCGGACGAGGGCUCGGUGGAGUGCCUGCCGUGUCGGCGAGGUCACUACUGCAGCAACGAGACGACCAGCGCCGAGGUCAUGCUGAGCGUCAUGGUGUGCCCCGCCGGCUUCCUCUGCUCUCAGGGGCUCGACCGGGAACCCCAGCGCUCCGCCGUCUUCUGCCCCAUCGGCUUCUACUGCCCCGGGGGGAGCAUCAACCCCAACCCCGUCCCGUGCCCCAAUGGGACGUACAGUGGGCAGCCGGGGCUGAGGGACGAGGCUGACUGUGUCACGUGCCCCGCGGGGAAGUUCUGCUUCUCUCAGGACCAGGACCAGCCCGCCACUGAGCCGACGGGUUCCUGCCCAAACGGGCACUACUGCCCUCCUGGCACAGGGCAUCCACACUCCUUCCCCUGCCCAGCGGGCUCCUUCAGGAACAACUCCCUGGGGCACGGUGGCGAGAGCUGUGUGGCGUGUCCUGCAAGGCAUUACUGUGGCACUCCAGCCACCCGUACGCCCAGCGGGUGCCCUCAGGGUUUCUAUUGCCCUGAGGGCAGUAGCACUCCUGCCCCCUGUGAAGAGGGCACCUACGGCCCUCGCCCUGUCCUGGCUGAUGCUUCAGAGUGUGCCCCUUGUGACGGGGGCAGGUACUGCAGCGGAGUGGGGCAAACUGAGCCGUCAGGGACCUGUGAGGCAGGAUUCUACUGCAGACACAGAGCCACCACAGCAACCCCUGUGGAUGGUCCGUCAGGCGGCCUGUGUCCAGCUGGCAGUUAUUGCCCCUCAGGCUCAUCCUACCCCUCCCCCUGCCCCCCCGGCACCUUCAGCAACAGUACCGGCCUCAUGCACACGCAGCAGUGUGUCAGCUGCCCCCCAGGAUACUACUGUCUGGGCUCCAACAGUUCUGCUCCAACUGGGCGCUGUGCUGCAGGCUUCUACUGCCCUGGUGGGGCAGACUCCCCUGUGCAGAGAGAGGCAGAGGAGGGGCACUUCUCACGUGAGGGGGCAGUUAAAGCAGAGGAUUGCCCCCUGGGCACCUUUCAGCCCGGCCGAGGCCAGGGAAGGUGUCUCCAAUGCCAGCCUGGCCGCCUCUGCAAUGAGACGGGUCUGUCCCAACCCCCCCUCUGCCCCUCUGGCCACUACUGCCCCCCCGGCUCGUCUGUCGCUCGGCCAUGUCCACCUGGCUCCUACUUUGCUCAUCCUGGUGCAAUAGAAGUAACACACUGCAGCUUGUGUGAUGCGGGGCAGUUCUGCCAGAAUCCAGGCCUUUCUGCCCCAGAGGGUCCCUGUGCCCCAGGAUUCUACUGUACUGGGGGAUCCAGCACUGCUACACCGGUGAACUUGCGGUCUGGAGACGUGUGUCCUGCGGGCUACGUGUGUCCCCCUGGCACCAUGCACCCCCACGAGACUCCGUGCCCCCCCGGCACCUGGAGCAAUGUGGUGGGGGGGCAGGAUCUGUCCACCUGCUGGCUCUGCCCCCCUGGGUUCUACUGCAACACCUCCGCCCUGACCCAGCCCACCAAUGUGUGUGCCCCAGGGUUUUAUUGCUCUGGUGGGGCAAAGAGCUCAAUGCCAGUAGAUGGAGAGAGCGGCGGCCGCUGUCCAGCUGGGUCCUACUGUCCACCGGGUUCAGCCUCGCCCUCACCCUGCCCUGAGGGCACCUUCUCCAACAGCACAGGUGUUGCAGAGUGCCGUAACUGCCCUCCGGGGAAGAUCUGCCUGCGGGGGGAGGACCCCGAGCUCUGCCCUGAGGGGCACUUCUGCCUUGGGGGCACCCUGGACGAUAUCUUGGCCUGCCCACCAGGAACCUACAACCCCUUGCAGGGGCAAAACCAGCUGGAGCAGUGCCUCCUCUGCCCCCCAGGGAGGUACUGUGAGGAGUGGGGACUGUCUGAACCAUCGGGUUUCUGUCAGGCCGGAUAUUUCUGUUUAGCAGGCAUCAACUUCAGAAACCCUGACGGGAACAUCAGCACUGGGGUGGGUGGGGCCUGUCCUAGAGGUCACUACUGUCCAGAGGGCUCAAGCCUACCACACGCCUGUCCUCCAGGAACCUCUUCCAAUAGUCUCCAUGUCACAGAGAGCUCCGGCUGCAGCUCUUGCCCCCCUGGGCGUUUCUGUGGCACAGAGGGACUAAUCCGCCCAUCUGGUCCCUGUCAGCAGGGGUUCUACUGCCCCUCUGGUGCCUCCACUGCCAUGGGAGCCGGGAGUGGAGGAGGGCCGUGCCCUGUGGCACACUACUGCCCCGCUGGCAGUGCCACCCCUGUCGCCUGUCCCGCGGGCACCUACGCCAACCUCACGGCCCAGCCGCGCUGCAGUCUGUGCCAGGCUGGAUACUUCUGCCCUGAGCUGACCGCCAACUACACCAACUUCCCCUGUCCCCCUGGAUUCUACUGUCCUGAUGGCACUAAACAUACCGCCCAGUUCCCUUGUCCCCGUGGUUACUACAACGCCGAGGCCCUCACCCAGAGUCUGGACAGCUGCCUGCCCUGCCCCCCGGGGCACUACUGCGAGAAGGAGGGGCUCUCAGCCGUGUCAGGGAAAUGCAACGCUGGCUGGUUCUGUGUGUCUGCUGCCUGGACCUCUCAACCUUUUGACCUGGACAACUACACGAACGCCAACUGCCUGUGUCCUGCCACAUCCACUGGGGGGCGCUGUCAGAAGGGCUUCUUCUGCCCCUCAGGUAGCUCAGAGCCCCAGGCCUGCCCUGCUGGGGCCUUCUGCAAUGCCACAGGCUUGUUUCUGCCCAGUGGGCCAUGCUCCCCGGGGUUCUACUGCACUGGUGGAGCGGUUCGGCCCAAACCCAGAGACGGAGUAACAGGAAACAUCUGUCCUCCAGGAGCUUACUGUGAGGAGGCCUUUGAGGAACCCCAGCCGUGUCCAGCCGGCACAUUCUCCGUGGUCACUGGCCUGGUGAGACAGUCUGAGUGCCAGAGAUGCACAGAGGGACACUACUGCAGUUCCACUGGGCUACAGGCCCCUACGGGCCCCUGUAGUGAUGGUUACUGGUGCCCGGCUGGUCAGGAGGCGGACCGCUUGCUGCAGUGUCCGGUCCAUCAUUACUGUCCCCUGGGCAGCCCUGCCCCACUUCUCUGCCCCUCAGGCUUUUUCCAGGACAGGGAGAAGCAGGCCAACUGCUCACUCUGUGAAGCAGGUCAUUACUGUGACCCCAGACUGGCUUCCAGAGGCCUCUCCAUCCUGCAGCGCUGUCCAAGAGGACACUACUGUCCCCCAGGGACACACCUGUCCACCCAGUUCCCCUGCCCAGCGGGCACCUACAACCCCACAGAGGGCAUGGACAGCUCAGAGGCCUGCCUUCCCUGCCCUUCCGGACAGUACUGCCCCUCCAUGGGCCUCUCUGAACCUGAUGGUGGCUGCCAGGCUGGGUUCUGGUGCAGAAGAGGUUCUAGGUCCAGCACCCCAUUAAACGGAACCUCGGGUUCCACAUGCCCCGCUGGACACUACUGCCCUGCAGGUGUGUCCUUACCUGUGCCCUGUCCACCUGGCACCUGGGCGGGCAGGACCGGCCUGGGGGACGCGGGGGAGUGCCAGCCCUGUCCGGGGGGAUCGUACUGUGCCACCCCUGGACUCACAACACCCACAGGCCUCUGCACAGGAGGGUUUUACUGUGUGGAGGGGGCAGUGACACCCAACCCCUAUGAUGGCACCACGGGUGCCCCCUGCCCAGAGGCUCAUUACUGUCCUGUAGGAACCUCUCAGCCUGUGCCGUGUGAGCCAGGGACCUAUAUGAGUGCGACACAGGCCCCAGAGUGCUCUGUGUGCCCUGCAGGCUGGUACUGCACUUCUGGCGUUCGGCUGCUCUGUCCAGCAGGGUUCUACUGCCCUGAGGGCACAGGGGACACAUGGCGCUCCUGCCCCGUGGGCACGUACGGCCCUGCUGGUGGCCUGGGCAGGGUGUCGGAGUGUCGCGAGUGUGAUGGAGGACACUACUGCAGCAUGCCCAACACCACCUCUGUCACAGGGCCGUGCUCUGAGGGGUACUUCUGCCUGCCCGGCAGCACCACCCCACGGCCCCUAACCACAGAGGAAGGAGGUCCGUGUCCAGUGGGCCAUUUCUGCCCAGAAGGGACAUCGCAUCCACAUGCAUGUCCUGAAGGCACCUACAGCAACAUCUCUAAAUUAAUCUCCCAGGUGAGCUGCAGGCCGUGUGCUCCUGGACACUACUGCAGUGCUGCUGGUAUGAGCACGCCCACUGGGGAAUGCUGGGAAGGCUACUACUGCCAGCAGGGGGCAGUAUAUCCAAACCCACACAUCAGGGACGAGCGGGGAGGGCCCUGUCCGUCAGGAUAUUUCUGCCCCAAAGCCUCCGUUGGGCCUCUGAUCUGCCUGGCUGGCUACCUCAGCACAGAGGAGGGACGAGCCAACUGCAGCCUCUGCCCUCAGGGUUACUACUGCCCUGGCAGCAGCUCCACUAAUCAAAGCAGAGCGUGUCCUGUUGGGCACUACUGCCCCGCGGGCACCAGCAGUCAGUACCAGCACCCGUGCCCAGAUGGCACUCUGAACCAGCAGGAGAGAAUGGGCUCGCCCCACGACUGUACACCAUGCCCUCCAGGUUCCUUCUGUGCCUCGUCAGGCCUGAGUGAGGUCUCGGGGCCGUGCUCUGCUGGUCACUUCUGCUCUUUGGGGGCCGUGUCCCCCCGGCCAGAGGACGGAGUGACGGGGGACAGGUGUCCUCGGGGACACUACUGUCCCCCGGGGGCCUCCGUGCCACUGCCCUGUCCGGCUGGUCGCCACAGCAACACCACCGGCAACGCCUACCUCUCUGACUGCAAGCCCUGCCCAGCAGGUUUCUCCUGCUCCAGUAGGGGGCUCUAUCUCCCCUCCGAAGUCUGCCCUGCUGGAUUCUUCUGCCCUGACGGGGAGGGCUCCAACCACCCCACUCCACAAACCUGCCCCCCGGGGUUCAUCUGCCCCCAAGGAAGUCCUGCCCCCACCCCCUGUCCAGCGGGGACCUAUCAGGAGCAGUCUGGCCAGACGCGGUGUGCCCCCUGUCCUGCUGGCUUCUUCUGCGCCGCCUCACUGCACCCUGGCACAGGUGGCACAGAGGUAGUAGAAGGCUCCCACACACCCACCCCCUGCCCCGAGGGGCAUUACUGCCCAGUAGGCACCCAGUCUGGCCUGGACUUCCCCUGUCCUGUGGGCUCCUUCAGUGACCAGCGGGGCAUACGCAGCUCCAGCCAGUGCGCCCCCUGUCCAGCAGGCCGGUACUGCAGCUCUGCCGGACUGGCUGGCCCAUCAGGACACUGCUCUCCUGGGUAUGUGUGUCUCCAGGGCUCUGUGCAGCCUCAGCCCACGGGCGAGCUGACCGGCAGCCGAUGCCCCGCAGGCUUCUACUGCCCCGCGGGCACCACCCACGCCCUGCCCUGCCCGCCCGGCACCUGCAGCUCAUUAGAAGGAGCGGUGUCAGUAGACGCCUGUCAGCUGUGUCCUGCGGGUCUCUUCUGCUCUGACUUCGGUCUGACGGCCCCAUCAGGGCCCUGCAGCGCUGGGUACUUCUGCUCACGAGGAGCCACCACUCCCACGCCUCACGACACAGAGACUGACAGUGAGAUGUGUGGGGGGGCCGUGGAGGUGGACACACGCUCGUCUGUCCCGCCCAGAGCAGGAGUGUGUCCCAGAGCAGGAGUGUGUCCCAGGGGACACUUCUGCCCCAGGGGUACAGCUGAGCCCCAGCCCUGUCCGCCAGGUAACCCUAGAGCUGUCCUCUCUUCCAGGUAACUCCGGUAUCUCUCACCUAGCUUUGCUCCUUGAGUAGUGUGGGAGCCAGCCUGUCUGUCACAGGAAGCAGAAGAUCUGUCUGUCUGUCUGUCUGUCUGUCUGUCUGUCUGAUCUGAUCUGUGUCUGUCUGUCUGUCUGUCUUUCUGUCUGUC
Molecule: long non-coding RNA, 7779 nt
Organism: Clupea harengus (Atlantic herring)
Lineage: Eukaryota; Metazoa; Chordata; Actinopteri; Clupeiformes; Clupeidae
Source: Ensembl